This 468-nucleotide ribosomal RNA is filed under the name uncultured bacterium. RNAcentral describes it as "partial 16S ribosomal RNA". It matches the Rfam family "Bacterial small subunit ribosomal RNA", at positions 28 to 507 of the family's 1533-position model. The record is from RNAcentral.
GACGAACCCUGGCGGCGUGCUUAACACAUGCAAGUCGAACGGAAAGGCCCUGCUUUUGUGGGGUGCUCGAGUGGCGAACGGGUGAGUAACACGUGAGUAACCUGCCCUUGACUUUGGGAUAACUUCAGGAAACUGGGGCUAAUACCGGAUAGGAGCUCCGGCUGCAUGGUGGGGGUUGGAAAGUUUCGGCGGUUGGGGAUGGACUCGCGGCUUAUCAGCUUGUUGGUGGGGUAGUGGCUUACCAAGGCUUUGACGGGUAGCCGGCCUGAGAGGGUGACCGGCCACAUUGGGACUGAGAUACGGCCCAGACUCCUACGGGAGGCAGCAGUGGGGAAUAUUGCACAAUGGGCGGAAGCCUGAUGCAGCAACGCCGCGUGCGGGAUGACGGCCUUCGGGUUGUAAACCGCUUUCGCCUGUGACGAAGCGUGAGUGACGGUAAUGGGUAAAGAAGCACCGGCUAACUACGUG